UACGGGGGGAGCAAGCGUUGUUCGGAUUUACUGGGCGUAAAGGGCGCGUAGGCGGCCACCGCAAGUCAAUUGUGAAAUCUCCGGGCUUAACUCGGAAAGGUCAACUGAUACUACGGGGCUAGAGUGCGGAAGGGGCAACUGGAAUUCUCGGUGUAGCGGUGAAAUGCGUAGAUAUGACAUAGAACACCGAUUGCGAAGGCAGCUCACUAAACAAUGAUUGACGCUGAGGCACGAAAGCGUGGGGAUCAAACAGG
RNAcentral lists this ribosomal RNA (254 nucleotides) under uncultured bacterium. Its description in RNAcentral is "partial 16S ribosomal RNA". It matches the Rfam family "Bacterial small subunit ribosomal RNA", at positions 524 to 776 of the family's 1533-position model. The record is from RNAcentral.